CACGUACCGCAAAAAAAAAAAAAAAAAGAAAGUAACUUCAUUUUGAUAAGCAUCUCAAACAUCCCACCCAAAAUGGUGAAGAGUUGGAAAUAUUUCUGCCUCAUCAAACAGCCUCAAUUCCAGAGAGACACCCAGACAGAACAUCUGCCAUGGACUGUUUAACUUCAUCGGGCAGAGAAGUUGGAAAGAACAAAAAUACUCGAGGCACUGAACAGCCUUCUCUAUCUCCGGCACCAGACGGGAAUGGCCUGGAGGUAUUUCCACAGGGACGUGUUCUUGAGCUUUUUCUUGAAAUCCUUUGCCCUCUUCUUCACAGGGGAGAACUAAACUAUUUGUGCACCACGUUUUGGGGGGUAGGGUGCAGAAUGGGAAUUGAAGGAUAAGUCAGUCGUUUAACAAUCCUGCCUAUCCAUGCAAAUGAUUUCAAAAUAUGAAAUACUCAUUCCAGAAAAUUUAUUGACAAUUUAUUGUCAAGGUAUUGUGUAGGUGUUACAGAAAGACAAAGGUAAAUUACACAUGGAUCAAAUCUCAAGGAACUCCCUGUCAAAGAAGUCAUGUAAAAGACACACAGAUACCUGUGGGGAGUAGAAAGCUAUGGGUGUGUUUUAGGUUGGAUUCCUGGAAGUACAGCUAGAGCAGGGCUUGUGGGCUUUACUGAGGGAGGGAUCUGGGGUGAAAACUUUGAGGCUGUGAGCGGAGAAGGACAGAGCAGGAGAGAAGCUAGGCAAAGAGGUGGGUGUAGCUGGAGCCUGAUCCCAUGAGGAGCUCUAAAGGAUGAUUUGUGCCUGUGGUAUAAUAAAAAAUAUAUAUCUGGUCUUUGUCCCUGAUUUUGGAGUACAGAGCUCCUAAAACCCUUACAAGUUAUCUUCUGUAUGCUAAUGAGGUGAGUCCCCAGAUCGUCUCAGGAUGGGAGCUCGUCACAAGAAAAGCCAGCUAUAUGAUUAGAGGGUUGGAACUCUCAGCCCCAUUUCCCAACUUCUGGGGAGGGCAGAGGGGCUGGAGAUUGAGAUCAGUUCCCCAAUGACCAAUGACUUAAUCAAUCAUGCCUGCAUAAUGAAACCUCCAUAAAACCCCUAAACAAUGGGAUUCAGAGAGUUGCUUUUUUUUUUAAUUGAAGUAUAGUUGAUUUACA
Delphinapterus leucas (beluga whale) is the source of this 1132-nucleotide non-coding RNA. The record is from RefSeq and is a predicted model, not a curated record. NCBI's taxonomy places the organism in Eukaryota, Metazoa, Chordata, Mammalia, Artiodactyla, Monodontidae.